Molecule: long non-coding RNA, 40156 nt
Filed under: Ananas comosus (pineapple)
Lineage: Eukaryota; Viridiplantae; Streptophyta; Magnoliopsida; Poales; Bromeliaceae
Description: long non-coding RNA (ACOM_LNC006598)
Source: RNAcentral
UAUAUAAUAACUGCAAAAGCAUGAAAGUUCAAGAGGUGUCAAUAAAUCUAUCCUUAAUCAAGAAACUACCAUACGAUCAGUAGUUACGAGACUCAGAAUUUCACAUACCAAUUUGGAAACUAAAAUUCAUUGAGAACCAUUAAUUAAGGAACUUAAGCUGAAAACUUGAUAUCAGUCUUCAUGUAUAAACAUAAUGAAGAACUUGUACAAACUACUAAGUGCAACUUAAGAAAGGCAUGUACUUUGGCAUAAUGUCUAGUAUCCCGAUGGGUCGAGCCCCCAGCAUCUUGGGUUAUAUUUUAGUAUGAGUUCUUGGUGAAGUUUAUACGGUGUAGGGGCCUAGAAGAAAGAUCAAUAUAUAUAUAUAUAUAUAUAUAUAUAUAUAUAUAUAUAUAAAGCUCCACAUACCCACUUACUAAAGGUUUUCUCUUUGCUAAUGCAUGCUCAUGUUAAGGGGUGACAAUGCUUGAAAAAGGUCUAAGAGAAUAGGUGAAAUAUAUUAUUGUACAUUUCUUGUUAUCACGAUUCAAUUUACUGUUUGGCACUGCUCAAUUGUAUUCCAAAAGAAUAUUGACUAAAACGAUCGACGCUACAUUUAUAAAAGAGUAUUUCCAAAGACUGAGAGUUAAUGACAAAAGAAAUAUUAUAUAAAAAUAGAAAGAGCAUAUUGUAGCAACUAAAAUAUGCAGAAUGACGUACACCAAAAGAUAGCCGCAGCUUCUAAAAUACAUACGUCCAUGUGGAUCUAUUCCCAAAACCUCUGCUCCUUGGCAAGCCUUCGACAAAUUAAUCAACCCAUCACUUCUUUCCAGCAAACAAUCAGGACAAUACCAGUCGCCUUCGGGCAAAAGAUCUUUAGCCACUCCAACGCAUUUAGAAUGAAAUGCAGCAGGACAACCAUCACAGCAUAGAAGAUUACCAUCCAUCCCACAAAGGCAACAUUCAUCGCUAUUCCCAUCAACAUCAUCUUCAUAUUUGUGAGCGAACGAACCCCCCAAAGUUUCCAUACCUGGCUUAGUCCUCCGUUUUGCGAUGGUCAUGUUUGUGUUGUACUCAGAUUGGCUCAUUCUUAAAUUCAGUUCUGAUCUAAUUUCUUCAACUUCAAUGACAUUAUCACAUAGACAACGGAGUAAAUCCAGUUUCACGUCAGCAGGCUGUUCAUAGUACUCCUUAUUCAAGAGCCUCAAAUGAGUAAGUUUGAUACCAGAUUUCAAACUUGAACCAAAAACUAGUAAGUACUCAGCAAGGUAAAGAGGCCAUGUUACUAAAUCUAAGAGCUCCCAAUUAAGGUUCCUACAAAGAAUAGAUGUAUAAAAAAGAAGGCAAUUAACAGAGUAAGAGAUAAAUUGCCUACUGAACAAGCAAAGUGAAUAACAGUAACAACGGAAGCACCUGAUGCAAUCAGUAGCUGACUGAGAUCCUUCUUCAGAAAGGAAUUCCAAAUGCCUCUUCAAUGCUUGCAAUAUGGAAAAAUGAAUAGAGUCGAUCAAUGAAUUCACAUGUUUGCAUCUCAAAGCCGCCACAAAUGCUUCCAACCCAAACGGGCUCAGAAACAGAGGCCUGCUAAAAGAUCUCAAACAAGUGUAAACAGAGAAAAGAUCGAGGACAGGAAGCCCUUCUAAAUCCAAAUCAUUCGAAGAAGAGGGCAGUUCUGGAUUGGCGAAAUCCUCACUAACACAUGCAUCAGCUUUAGCCUCUGAAAUUGUAUUAUCUUCAGCAGCCACCUGAAGCGUAACAGAAUUCUCAGUAGAUUGCAAAGAAGUAUUUGCUCUACGAGCACUCCUCCUCAGAGGUGUCACAGUAGAUAAAUCGACUUUCUUCGGACGCCCUCGUCUUCUCUUUCGACCUUGAUCACCCUCCUCUGUUCCACACAUAGCAUCAUCUCCCUGCUCUAUAGGAUUUUUCAGUGUCAUCUCCUCAAUUUGUGUGUCGGUAUAGGGUUCUCGAGAGCCAUUUUCCUUCAAAUCAACUGCGAAUCCUUCACUAGUACCAUUUUCCUCCAACCUCACCAUCUCCGGAGUUCCUCCAAAACCCUGAGAAGAAUCUUUCUCCAACAAAUCCCCAUACGAACACUUGCCAUUAGCUUCAGCUCCAUCUAUAGCACCCAAAAAACCACUAUGCCCCUCGAUCCCACCAGAAACCUUAGUGUUUUCCACCAAAUUCCCACCUCCCUUUCUCAGUGGUGUCACCGUAGAAGAUUUGACUUUCCUGGGACGUCCCCGUCUUCUCUUUCGAACUUGCUCACCCUCCUCUGUUCCAUGUAUAUUAUCACCUCCCCGCUCUACUAGAUUUUUGGGGAUCAUCUCCUCAAUUUUGAUAUCCAUCAAGUGUUCAAAAAACCCACUUUCCUUCACAUUACCCACCAAUCCUACACCACUACCAACUUCCUCUGACCUCCCCAAUUCCGGAGUUCCUUUCAUCGCCUGAGAAGAACUUCUCUCCAAAAAAUCUCUAUUAGAACACUCAUCGCUAGCUUCAGUUCCAUGUAUAGCACCAAAAACUCCAUUUUGCCUUUCGAUCCCAUCAGAAACCCCAGUGCUUUCCACCAAAUCCCCAUCUCUCCUUCUCAAUGGUGUCCCGGAAGAAGAAGUGACUUUCCUGGGGCGUCCUCGUCUUCUCUUUGGAACUUGCUCACCCUCCUGUGUUCUACGUAUAGUAUCAUCUCCCUGCUUGAUCGGAUCUUUGGGUGCCGUCUCCUCAAUUUGGGUAUCUCUAAACCCUUCAGAAGAGCCAUUUCCCUUCACAUUAUCCACCGAUCCUUCACUACAACCAUUUCCCUCCAACCUCCCCAAUUCCCGAGUUCCUACCAAACCCUGAGAAGAACCUUUCUCUAACAAAUCUCCAUUGGAGCACUCACCACUAGCUUCAGCUCCUUCUAUAGCACCCAAAACAUCAUUUAGCCUCUCGAUCGCAUCAGAAACCCUAGUACUCUCCACCAAACCCCCACCUCCAUCCCCCAAAGCACUACCCUCCCCAAACCCCCCGUUCUCCACAGAAUCCGGCUCCGCCCGCCGCCGCUUCUUCGGCCUCCGCCCGUGAUCGUCCAUCCCCUCCGCUUCUACGUGGGGUAGCUCCCCCACCUCCCCCAACAUCGACGCGAUCUCACCAAAAUCGACCUCCUCGGUGUCCCCGUCCUCGUAGAGCACCUUGAAGAAUCUCGUGGACGCAUCAUACGACUCCACAACUCCCUCAUACGUCCCGAGCCCCGGGAACGUCUUCCUCACGACACUCCCGACCAGCUCCAUCACACCCGGGGAGCUAGGGCUCCCGAUCGAUCCCCAAAACCAAAUCGAAUCGAAGAACACGAAGAACACGAAGAAGAAGAGAUCGGAUUCGACCAACAACAAGAUGAGAUUGAGGCGAAAUUGGAGAAUGGCAAGAGAGAGGGGGGGGGGAGGGUUCUCCUUUCCCUUUCGAUCUCUCGCUCUUUAAUUUCGUCGAAGAGGAGAGGAACGAAGAACGGGGCUUCGUUUCCGAUGUCCCGCGGGAACACUCUAAAUGGUGGAAUAUGUGCAAGAUCCUUGCUGUAUUCCUAUUUUGCAAAUCCGUCCUUAAACUUUUAAUGUCCGUACAGGUCUAUUUGUCAAUAAGCCAAAUGAGUUUUUUUUUUUAAAAAAAAGUUAAUUUCACGUAACUCACAAAUAAAGUAGUUGUUUUGUAUUAUACUUGAUAUUAUAAUUAUUUUUUAUAGUUUAUACAUAUGUUUGUAAUAAAAUAUACUUGUAAAUGGUAAUUCAAAAAUAUGCCGUACUUUUUUUUUCUAGUGUAAGUGCAAGAUUACCUCAAUCUAAUAUGCUCUAAUGCAAGCGAAUAAGAAAUUACAGGCAACUAGUAAAAAAAAAUUAUAGAAUGAAUAAAAUCAUGUCUAAUUUUAAAAAAAGAACCCAAUGAUCUUUUUACAAUAAAGGGUGAAACUACACAAAUAUCUGGAAAGUUAAAAAAAAACUUAAGUGGAAUAUACAGACAUUAAGAUUAUCCAUACAAUUUACACUAUUAUAUAAAUUAACUACUAUUAAUAUAAUCCAAUCUAAUGGAUACUUAGGGAUGCAAACACGCCGGAUCAUAAGGCGGGAAGGUUCCUCCACCUCCCGCUCUAUUUCUUAUCGGAACGGGACAGAACAGAUUCGAUUAUUUUUUAUUUUAUUUUCGGCUUCUACUUAAUUACCGUUCCAUUCAGGGUGGAUCGGGACGGGAGCAAAUUUUUGACGGAUUAAAACGGAUUGAAGGAAGAAAAGAAUUUUCCGCCUCCCGCUCUAUUUACUUGGCUGAUUGGCGAAAAUUUGAGGUAGGUUAUAUAUUUCUAUAUUUUUUUAUCACUUCAUUCAGAGCAGAUCGGGGUGGGAGUUCUACCAACCUGGAUCCAUUUGCAUCGCUACGAAUGCGGUGUUAAAUGAGAUGGCAAAUCAUAAAUGAACGGUCCAGAUUCAACGAAGCGAGUGAGACUGGGGAUCUUACCGUUGGUUAGUUUCUUCUUCUUUUUUUAAGUUGUGUCGAGGGAGCACCUGAAGAUGAGGACAUGGGGAUUUGAGGGUGGGGUGUUAAAUAAAACUUUAAAAAAAAGUGAGUAGUGAAAAGUGUGGAUUUGUUUCACGUUUUAAGGGAUAAAAAAAAGGUAGUUGCUAAUUCUUGCUUUUAGCGCACUUGUAACGCGCAGUUACGACUCGUGAGUAGGUGGAUUCCCUACAGCAUGGGUUGUACUUGUAGUUGCUACUCACUUUGGGCCACGUGGCUUGCUGUCAUUGGUCGAGAAAUGUACAGAAAAAAAAAUCUACAGAGGAGCGAGUUCACUAGUCACGUGAGGUGACUACUAAAAUAUUCCCACUCAUCAAUAGAUAUAUUAAAACGUGAAUUCUCAAAGAAAUUACGUGCCGCGUACUUUGUUUCUUAUGAUCUGUUCACCUACCUCACCUCUUUUCCUUUCCAAAUCACUUUAAAUUUGUCAAGUGCUACGGUAUCAUGCAUAAUAUACACUCAUUAUAGGGUGUAUUAUAGUAUUAUUCUUCAAAAUAAUUAUUUUUAUAUGAAUUUUCUAAGCUUCUACUUGUAGUAAGAAUUUUGUGUUUGUGUUCACUUUCAGUGUUGAUGAAUUGCGAGAUCAACUUUGUACACAUAAAUUCUUACGUUACGUACGAAGAUUGUAGACAAAUUACGUUUUUAUAUAAAUAAGCCGCAGUGUUGUUUGGUAUAAUAUUAUUUAAACAGUAUUAUGGGAGAUACUUGAAUUUCUUAAAUAUUUAUCUCUUUUGGAUUAAAAAGGUAAAAGUUCGAAAUUAAUGUUUUUGCCUUUAGAAUUCAAACUCUCAUUUCAACUUUUUUAUUAUGGCGUGAUUCCCAAAAAAAAUUCGUUUAUCUACUGCAGUAUAAAUGCCUACUAUUUAUUAUGAAAUAUCCGAUCGUUCGUAGCACAAGUAGCUAUUGACUUGAUGAUUAGUAUUCGAGAUUAUAAGUUCGAAACUUAGUUAGUUCAUAUUUCUAACUAAAUUUAUUUAUAGAAAAAAUAAGUUAAGUGGAUACUAUGCUACCAUUCUCGUUUAAAAAAACAAAAAAAUCGAUAGUAGAAUUUCGGCCAAAUAAGCUAAUAGAAUAGAAUUAUAUCAUUGUGAGAUUUUUUUUUUUUGAGAGAGAGAUAUAGAUAGUAUGACACACUUUUCGUUUAUUUUAUUUAUAAAUAAAUUUAGCUGGAAAUGUGAAUCAACCGAGAUUGUAAUGAACUCGAUUGAGAGUUGGUCAAAGUGAGGAGAACUCAAGUUAGAAUUUUCUUUCAUAAGAAACGAAUGGUUUCAGAUGUUCUCAUUAGCCGGUAGACUCAGAUUUCUUAGGCGAUUUUAAAAAUAUUUUGGAGGGAAUUGCAAUUUGGAGGAACCCUUUCAUACUCACUUGUAGGCGUGGCGUAACCGUUAUUAUAAGGAAAAACUUCAAAUACCAUCCUGUGGUUUUGCAGUUUCUUAUUUUUGUACCAUGUGGUUUAAAGUAUAUCAAUUUAGUAUUCUAUGAUUUUAUUUAUUUUCUUUUUAUUAUCCUUUUUAUUAUUAUUUUUUUUUAAAUCAGUGACAAAGUUAAAACUAAAAGGUACUAACGUGAAUAUUCGAUAAACCUAGGUGGGGUAUCUGAAAUUUCUUGCAUAUAAUUUAACGAGAUGUUAACAAAUAAGCUGACGAAAAAAGACAAAUAAAACUACAGGGGACUAAAUUAAUACGCUUUAAACCACAGAAUAUUAAAGUGAGAAAAUACAAAACAACAAGGCUGAUAUUUGAAGUUUGCCCUUAUUCUAAUAAUUAUUUGUAGCCAAUAUAUGUUGUAAUGGUCCCUAGAGCAAGUCGCAAAAGGCUUGGUGGUUGGUAUCCGAGACCCAAGUUCGAAUCCUAGUUGAUUUACAUUUUUUGCUAAGUUUAUUUCUAAAUUUUUGCUAAGUUUAUUUCUAAAUGAAAUAAACGAAGCGGGUAGUGUACUACCUAUCUCUCAAACAAAAAAAAGUAUAAGAUCGAAAAAAAAAAGUCUAAUUGCUCAAACCUAGAUAUAUAUAUAUAUAUAUAUAGAGAGAGAGAGAGAGAGAGAGAGAGAGAGUAAGGCUACUAUACUAUUAUGAGUAUUGGGCCUUUCGUACACAUAAGUUAUUUUCGAUGAUGGAGCUUCCGAAUCGACGAUCCACUCCGUUAAAUAUGAUCUAGAGUAUUUGAAACUUCUAGAAAAUAAAUUUCGUAAUUUUUCGAAAUCAUAAUAAAGUCCAUCAAGUGGGCAUAAAAUGAACAGUCAAAAUCGAACGAUGUCUUAAAAAUGGAUGAUCAGAUCCUUCAAUUUAAAAUCAGAGUUAUUGAUCUUUAUCUAGGUAGUGAAUAGAAUUUUCUAUCAAAAAUUCAACCUAUUCGGAUUCUUUUGCACCAUUAAACUAGCAAGUAUUCCAUACCGGCCGUUAAAAAUUGUUAAUUUUGUAACCUUUUGAUCGUAAGUUAAAUGAUGUCGAAAAAUUAUGAAAUUUGAUUUCUAGAUGUUUCAAAUGCUCUAGAUAACGUUUAACGGUGUGGAUCGUCGAACCGGAAGUUCUAUCAUCGAAAACAACUUAUGAGUACAAGGACGAUCGUACUCAUAAUAGUAUAGUAGCCGGACUCUAUAUAUAUAGAGAGAGAGAGCAGGGCUGCUGUACUCUCAGGAGCACGGAGGCAGAGCAGGGCUGCUGUGCUCUCAGGAGCACGGAGGCCCUGAGCCGUUUACGAUGAUGGAGUUUCUGAAUCGACGAUCGGUUUCGUUAAACUUGAUCUAGCGUAUUUGAAGUUUCUAGAAAAUAAUUUUUACAAUUUUUCGAUAUCAUUUACCUAACAAUCGAAAGGAUUCAAAAUCAAUAAUUUUUAACAGCUGAAAAUAAAAAUUCUAUAAAAAGUGAUGAUAUAGCAUUAAAAUUUUUGAUUAGAAAUAUUGAUUUUGUUAUAGAUAGUAUAAAAAAUUUUGUAUCAAAAUUUCAUCUUAUUUGAAUACUUCUACACCGUUAAACUUGAAAACGGCAGAUAUCAACCAUUAAAAAUUAUGGAUUUUGAAUCCUUUCGAUCACUAGGUAAAUGAUAUAAAAAAAUCGCAAAAAUUAUUUUUUAGAAACUUCAAAUACGCUAGAUCAAGUCUAACAGAGCAGAUCGUCGAUUCGAAAAUUCCAUCAUCGAAAACGGCUCAGGAGCACAGAGGUCUCCGUGCUCCGGAGAGCACAGCAGCCCUGCUAUAUAUAUAUAUAUAGUGAGGCUACUAUACUAUCGGAAGCACGGAGCCUUCCGUGCUUCCAGCUCGUUUUCGAUGUUGCGACUUUCGAAUCGUCGAUCGGCUCCGUUAAACUUGAUCUAGAGUAUUUGGAGUACCUAGAAAAUAAAUUUUAUUAUUUUUCGAUAUCAUUUGCCUAGUAAUCGAAUAGGCUCAAAAUCAAUAAAUUUCAAUGGCCGUAGUGAGCAAUUUGCAAGUUUAACGGUGUAGAAAUAUCCAAAUCACGUGAAAUUUUGAUAGAAAAUUCUUUAUAUUAUAUAAAACAAGAUAAAUAUCUUUGAUUUAAAAUUUUAAUGUCAUAUUAUUACAUUUUGUAAGAUAUAUAUAUAUAUAUAUCUUGUCACUCUCAUAUCAAAUUUGAUGGCAAGUGCCCGUUUCUAAAUUCUAAACAGGGUUUUGUAAGGAGAAAAGUUCGGUCUAAUUUGGCACAGCGGCUGUGGCCGUUGUGGCGUUGCAUGCCCAUGAUCUAAGCCCGAUCGUGAAAACAUCUUAAUGGUACCUCGACAAUAGUAAAUUCAAUACAGAGAAUAAUAUUUGAUUAUCAUUCUGUGAUUAAUAGAAAAUAGAACAUGAUUCCAACUGUAACUUAUUCCAUACAAAAAAUAUCCAUUUCUGAUCGAACUAAACUAAGUUCUUCCGAACUGAAAUUAAUUCAACCCUAUUCAGAUUCGAAUCCAAAGUGAGUUUUGGUUGGCCUUACUUUUGCUUCUAUUUUAUAUAUUUUUUUAAUUAUGUUUUUUAUUUAUUUGGGCCUUAUUAUCUAGGCUAUAGUAUGCUUGCAUUCCAACUUUUAAAUACGUCCCGCUUUCAAAGGCCGCCUGUCACUAUCAUGGUAGGCCCUUAUCCUAUUGUGGUGGUGACGAUUAACAUUUUGAAGCGCGGUGACAACUGAUAUUAUAACUAAUUAUUAGUUGGAAAUAUGAGAUAAGUUUUAAUUGAACUAUGGUUAUACAGUAGACAGAACGCAGUUCUUAACUAACAAUUGUUAUCGGUGGAGUGCAACUCCCUACAAAAUCGGGUAAGACUAGUAAGACGAGUUUCACAUUAUCAGAGACUUGUGAAUACUUAAUUCGGCUAUACUAUGUUCGACAAUUGUUAGGCUAAAAAAGAUAAGAGAGUUAAACGUGCUAGAGCUAAAGUUUGGAUGAAAGAUUUAAUGUAAGUUAGGCCUUAAUUGAUCCAAGUGGGUCAAUGGGCCUCUUUCCUUUUAUCUUUCUUGUCCAUGUGAAGUAAGUGGGCCUUGGCACUUGUACAUGUAAGUUAGGGAUGACAAUUUCUCCUGGAAGUAGAUUUUCAUGUGGAGACCUGCUUUAAUCUUUUGCCACUGGAAACACAACUCAAGAACAGGAUAGCUAUUCAAAACCCCACUGAAUCACCAUAUACAUAGCAAUCAUAUAUAUCUAAAAUAAUAUUUUAUUAACUAAGGUUGGUGAUUAAUCUAUCUGUCUAUUAGAGUAAGUUAUUUACAAAUAAUUUACGUAAUACAGUGACUUUUUACAUAUCUUAUCAUACUUUUUAUUCUAACAGAUCAUUCCCCGAAUAAUCCUUGAAAGUUCAUAGGAACACAUAUUGAACAAGAUGUUUAUAUAUUUUUCACCGUAGAUUUAUUAGACCGUAGACACAUACCCUAUGUAAAAUUCUAUUUGCUUAGCUCAGAAACUUGAUUUUGAAACCAUUUGAAUACUCUCGGGAGCUCUAGCCAAUAGAAACUAAACCGCCACACGGACAAAAAUUUUAUGGUCACCGUGCCGAAACAAUUUGUUUGGGCACGGUGCCCGGAUGGGCGCCGCGUGUGCAGCGGCGCCCAUCUGCACCCUCCCCUCCCCCUCUCUUUCUCUCUCUUCCUAAANCGCCGCUACACACGCGGCGCCCAUCCGGGCACUGUGCCCAAACAAAUUGUUUCAGCAUGGUGCCCAUAAAAUUUUUAUCCGCGCCACGCGGCGAUCCCUGUAACGUAACAAUCAAAUCCCCUCAAAUUGCGCGCACUCGAAAGCCACGUGGACACAAGGACCCUAAAUUACACAAGGGGGAAAGAUUCCUAGGGUUCACGAGAGAAUGUGUGGGAACACACAAGGACAAAAUGGAGGAGGAGAGGUUGCUAUCCUGUGUGGAGCCGCACCUACAUUGUAUUUGAGCUCUCAUGUGUUUGGUUCAACUGUAGUGGUCACGAGCCCGAAUUGAAUAAGGUCCAUAUUAGUCCCAGUAGAGAUCAUGUGAACCCACAUGCAAAGGAUACGCCAAACCAUAGAUGUGCUAAUGGGUUAGAUUUGGGUCAGGUUUGAGAUUCAAACCCCGACACUUAAGUUGUUUGUCUUAUUCUAAGCCCCAUUAUUUGGAGAAGUUAAUAUGGUAUCUUUUCAUAUAUACUUAUGGUACUGUUUAACAAGAAUGACCCUUUUUUAUUCAAUCAUGUCAUAAAAAAUGUGGUCUUAUUUGUGACUCACGUGGUGGACCAAUUCUAAGAUAAUAGUUUCAAAAUUAAGUAAUUUUUCGGAUGAAUGGAUUGAAUCAACUCGAGAAAAAGGUAUAUUCGAAUAUGAAUUUGAUAAACUGUCCAAUUCUUUUAUUAUUAUUAUUAUUAUUAUUAUUAGUUUGGUCAAAAAUCUGAUAAUUUGAGGUCGAAUUUGGAUAUGACAUUACAAGGUGAUAUUUUAUAGCAUGAGUGGAAAUUUUCAUGCUUUUGAUCUUUACCUGUAUACUUGUAGGCAUCACAUGUUAUACAUUGCACUCAGCAACAAUCUCAACUAUAAAUGUGAAGGACAUGGACUACGUGACAAAAUAAUUGAUUUUCUCAGUACUAGUAAUCACAUAUUACAAUGUCUUAUAUAUAUCAUGUUAUUAAUGAAGGUGGUACUUUCCCUAUAACUUACAUGACAGGUAUAAGAUUCCAACCAUAAUUUUUUUGUAAAAAAGGAUGCAUUUAACCUAACAAAUCAUCUAAUUAGUUUAGAACCAACAAGCAAAUUGGUACACCAAAGUGAAUCUGAUUUAUUUUGGAAUCACUUUUGGUACUUAAAGGUCUUAUUUAUCAAAUAUAUAUUCUUUUAAAUAAACAUAAUUAUAGGGAUUAAAAGCAAAAGCGAAAAUGAGAAAGUAGAAGCUAGACCAAAAGGCCUUCUCCCUAAAGUGUAAAACAAUACAACCCACAAAUGAAACCUUGCUUUUGCUCAAUUUGCAUUCAUGGCUACUACAAAACAAACUAAAGAAGCAGUGCACCAGACACUUCACAUGGAUUUGGAACGGCUUCUACUUCAAUAUCUGCAGCAACGUGCCAAUGCAACAAGGCGCGCCCAGAAAACUACCCAACAAAUGUUCCCAGAAGCCCAACUUCGCGACAAUGUAAGAAGCACUUGUCGUAUACUCUCUGUGGUGUGGUGUACAAGCGUUCUUGUGAGAGAAAGGAACCAAAGUGUGGAUGGGUUUAUCAGGUUAUAUAUAUGGGCAUGUGCGCGCCCAAAUUUACCCCAAAGCACCAAAAGUGCUUCUUCUUCUUCUUCUUCUUCUUCUUAGAGAGGAAAUUUUUAGAAGCAUAUAUGGCAAUGGAGAGUAAAGUGGGCUUUGUAGUUGCAUGCAUUGUUAUCGUGUUUAUGCUUUUGUCUCAAGAAGGCCAGGUCUCUCUCUCUCUCUCUCUCUCUUAUGUUUUUAAAUUUGGAGGCUCACUUAUCAUGUAAAAUGAGAACACAAAAACAUUUAUACGUGCUGCAUUUUACAUGACUGUGUUUUCGAUAGUUUUCUCUACUUCGAGAUUUUCAUAAUCAAUUUUUUUUUUUUUUUAAGAGAUAGAUAGUACGCUACCCGUUUCGGUUUAUUUUAUUUAGAAAUAAACUUAGCUAGAAAUGUGAAUCAACUAGGAUUCGAACUUGAGUCUCGGAUACCAACUACCAAGCUCUUUGCUACUUGCUCUAGGGACAGUCGGUUCCAUAAUCAAUAAUUAGAACGAGUUUUCGAAUAUGAAAAGAAAAUUAGCUUUAAAAGCUCUAGUUUAAAGACUUCUACUUUUCAGAUAGAAUAUUAAAUGAAAAGACAGGUACAUUUUAGGACAUUCUUUUACUGUAGGUAGUAACACUUACAAAAACCAGAUGGGAGCCAAAUCAGCUGUUUAUAAUUUAAUUUAUACAAAUUUUCGGCCAACAUAGGUCCCUAUACCUUACAAUAUUCAUUUAUAUUGGGAAAAGAAAAAAUAUUCAAAAAGAGGUUUAUUAUAUAUUUAUAUUUUCUUUAAUUUGAUAUACAGGGAAUGCUUAUUGCAAAGCACUGUCCAAGCCCAACUAGUCAACCACCAGCAAUAUCUCCAAGCCCAACUCCGCAGCCUAUCAAAUUCCCCAUGGUAAGACUCCACCAUUCCCGCCAAUACUGUCUGUCACGACAUCUCGGCACUGUCUGCUAGCAGAGUUGAUAAGAUAUAUAUAUAUUUUCUAAGGGCAAUUGCUUAUAUAUUUUUGAAAAGUUUUUGACUUUUUGAUUUACCCCUUUUAGAAGACUAAUAUUGAAAAUACUGUUCCAACCUAUUUCUAAUAUACCCCUAGAGUUAAAAUCUGUUAAUUAACUUAACUCUGUAAAAUUACUAUUUUACCCUUUCAAAUAUACCCUUCCACUAUCACUGACUUUCUUAUUUGCCUUUAAAGUCAGGAGCGCAGAAAGUAUUUUGACUUUUAGUCUUUUCCAAUAUACCGCUCUACCGUUACCAACAUUUUUUAUUUGCUCUUAGUUAAGGGCAAAAUUGAUAUUUUAUUUUUUUUAAACUACGGUAGAUGUUUAACUCACGUUUAACUCAAGUUAACUUAACAGGAGAUAACCGCGGAGGUAUUUUGUAAUAACGGUGAAACAUAUGAAGGAUAUUUUAGAAAGAAAAUAAAACAGGAAUAAAUCGGAUAUUUUCAAACGUAUGAGAAGUAUAUAGACAAUUAUUCUUAUUUUUUAUUACUAUAAAUUUUCAAAAUAUGCAAGUUAUUCCCUCGACUAUCUCUACAUUAUAGUCAAAGAAAUUAGAGAAAAAGGAAAGAACAUAUAUCUAACUAAACUCCUAACAUUGUUUGAUUGCAGUAUGGAGUCACCCCAGGAAGCCUCCACCCACAAGGUCACAUAUAUUACUCCUUACUUAAAACUUUCCCUUCUCCCUAUCUUUCUCAAAUUUCUCUAACAAUUGUAUCUCCUCUCGCCUCGCAGAGUGCCCCGACCGCUGCGCGGGCCGAUGCUCCGCGACGGCCUACAAGAAGCCCUGCAUGUUCUUCUGCCAAAAGUGCUGCGAGAAAUGCCUCUGCGUGCCGCCCGGCACGUACGGCAACAAGCAGUUCUGCCCUUGCUACAAUGACUGGAAGACCAAAAGAGGAGGGCCAAAGUGUCCUUAAAAAAGAUCUCUCUUUGCUUCCUGCACAGCAUAAUAAUAUGUUUCUUACUAUAAAUGCAGCUGCAGAGCCAACAUGUUGUUGUGAUUCUGAUUUCAAAUUUGGAUGCUGAGAUUACUGCUCUGUAUGAUAUUAGAUCAGAUAAGUAAGCGAAUCAUCAUGUUCUUUUGGAUAAAAAUGAAUGGUACCAAUGCGUGCCACUGCAUUUUAUUUAUGUCUUGGAAUAUUAAAAAGUCUGAAGUCCAAACACGAGACAUACUCUAAAAAUUUCUUAAAUUACACUAUAUACGACUAAUCAUAUCUUGGAGUUUCAUUGGAGAUAAGAACUUUAUUCUGUAGCUAUUGUGCAAUUGAACUUUAAAUUUUGUUGGCGUAUUUCAUUUGCAUUUGCUAACAAUGUGCUGAUGUGAUAAUUAGUUUAGCUGCUAUAUUAUCUAUAAAAAAAUGAUACCAUGAUAAAAUGACAAUAAUUCAGUCAAAGUCUGUUAAAGGUAGGAUUCAUUAAUAGUUGAUGAAAAGAUUUUAUCCAGUUUAUCAGAGAUUUCAUCAAAUAUUAACAAUUUUAAUUACAUGUUACGUAAUAAAAUUAUCACAAUUAGUAAAAUUGAGGGGUGUAUUUCAAAAUACCUAACAUUUGAGGGGUCUCCAUACAUUUCUACCUUUUCCUUUUCUUAAUUUUCCGAUAAAUUGGAAAAUAUUUUGAGUAAAAAGUAAACUUUUCGAAAAAAAAUUCGAAGCACAAGCGAGCGACGAAAAUGGCGGGCUAACCCCAAUCAAGACGCCUCUCUCGUCUCCUCUUCCUCCUCCGCUUCUUCAAAACCCUAGAAUCUCGAUCGUUCCCCCCUUCACCAAUCGAUCCCCUCCAAAACCCUAAUUCCCUCCCCCUCUAUCCCUUCCUCACCCCUCGGAUGGAUCCCAACCCCCCCGUACGCUGCGUCGACAACGAGGAGGUCGCGCUUUAUCUGCGGAGGAAGCGCCAGGAGAUGGCGGAGAAUCCCAAUGGCUUGUCGGAGAACCUCGACAUGACUCUCUCCACCGCAUAUCGCAACAUCUGCAGCGCCAAAACCCCAAUCAAAACCCUCAAGGACUUGUCGCAGAUCAAGUAACAUCCAAAAUCAACGCUUUAAUCUUUCUUUUUCUUGGCUAAAAAUAAAAAAAAACAACCCUAUGAUUUCACACUCUUUCUCGGCAUAUAAUGCGGUUUAUAUCUAAACAUCUAUUUAAGUUGGAGUCUACAUAACAGAUGUGAAACGAAAGAAAAGAUAUCCUUUUUCUACUAGAAUCAACUCAAUUUGUAGUUUAUUUGACAAUUUAUUCAGUUUAUGAGAGUCCUUUCCAUCAAGUAUAACUAAUAGAGUUGUUCAAAGCCCCAAUCAAGAACCUAAAAGACCUAUCAGAGAUCAAGUGCGGCAAAAUCUCUCUCUAUUAACCCAAUCUGAGUUCCUUUUCUUUUCUUUAAAAUUAACCCUUUGGAUGGUUAUUGGUUGAAUUUUAUAUUGUGAUAGGGGCGUUGGCAAAUGGAUCUUGAGGCUCAUGAAAGGGUUCUUCCCAGAGAUUAGCUCUGAUGUAUCUCCUUCUAAAGAACCGGUUCAGCAAAAGGGUAGUUCUUGUCUGUCUAGCUUAUUUAGUUAUUGGAUGAAUCCAGUCGAGAAAGUUGUUUUUUUUUUUUUUUUUUGAGAAAAUGAUAUGUUGAUUAGGAAAGAAGACGAAAGGACCGAAAGUACCAAAAGGACCAAAGCGUUAUCUACCACAAAAGAACUCAGUAGCGUAUGCGUUAUUGAUCACCCUUUACAGGUGUAAAUUGUGUCUCAUGCCCUUAAUUGCUGUCUGUUUAUUGCUUGAAACUAAGCUUUUAUUCUUUGUCUUAUUCCUUUUUUUUAAAUCGUUUUCCCUUUAGAGCAAUGGCAAAUGGGAGUGGUUUUAUGAAGAAGCAGGAGCUUAUUGAUGCUGCUGAAGCUAGUGGGCUUUCACGUACUUCAAUUGCGUGAGUGGUUCUUUUAGUUUUUACUAGUUUGACAUUGCAAAUUAUUAUAUGGUUUACUUAGUGUAUUUUUCUAUCUUUUCUUGUGGUCGACAGGCUAGAUAAGAGUAAAGGAAAACCCGGGCAAUUUGGGAGUUCACCGAGGGAUUGGUACACUGGAUGGAGCUGCAUGAAGACAUUAAUAUUGAAAGGAUUAGUAGUCAAAUCUAGCUGCCCAGCAAAGUAACAUAUCGUAUUCUUUCUUUUUUUUUUUGUAUUUCUCAUCCGCUUCUUACUACAUUUUGUUAAUUUCUUUAGAUAAGUGGUGAUGUGUAUAAAAUAAUGUGCACUAAUAACUCUGUGAGGUAUAGCUCUUCAGGGAGGCAUAUGCGAUCUUCCUUGGUUUUUCUAUUAAAUUUUACAUGAUCUUGUUAUAUUACAAUUCUCUGAAGAACUUGGAGAUACGUUGUAAUGGCUUUUUGCAAGAACUGAACAUAAUGUACUGAUGAAUCUUUCAUGCUGUUGCUCAUAGCCAGUAUAAUUGAUGAGACAAUAAUUUUGUUGCAUAAGGCUCCAAAAAUUGAUGUCACUAUGAAUUAAUGGAAGAGCACCCAAGAGAUUCUUGAAAAGGCUUCAUACAGAAUAUAAUUUUGUCAAUAUCUACUGUUUAAAACUUAUAAACUUGAUAAGUGCAUGUACAAGCUUCCCAUUGUUGCGCAUUAUUCUAUAGCUUGAUACAAGUGAGUCGAGUGUAGUGUUUAGAUGGCUAACUAUUAAAACAGUUUGGACACCAGCUCUUUAUGCCAUAUUAGUAGUUUUUAGUUUGAUUACUCUGGUAAUCCAUGGUUUUUUUUUCUAAAUCUUAUGCAAGUGUUUGGCAGUCCGAAAAUGCUAGGCAAUGUGAUCCCAUUAAUAUCCCCAUGUUGUUGGAUGGAUAGAAAAGAAGUAUUAAAAAAAUCAUUCUGAUCAAACUUGCUACUGCUAUAUUUAAAUAGCAAAUUCCCACAGUCAUCUCCUUUUUAGGCAUGAACUACUUGGCGACAAAGCUUAUGUUAAUGCCCUCAGUUAUUUUUUGAAUAAAACCAGAUAUUAAACUUUCUUUCUGAUCUCUUUUUUAUUUCAUUUGUAUUUCAUCUUUACUGCUUUAAUAUCAGUAGAGUACCUAUUAUUGUCUCUUGCUUCAUUGCCUUUCAAUUGUCUUACUUUUUUGUUUUGUUUGGGGCCUCAAUAACGUGUAAUACCUGAUUCUGAGUAGGUAUAUGCUAACCCAAGAAGGGCAAGACGCUGCACGUGAUUGCCUCUCAAGAUCUGGGUUAGGCGAUCCUUCUGGAAACUUGACUCUAGAUGGUGGAUCUGAUGAUUCUCUAGAAAGGCGAGGUUCUGCUAAUUCAGAACCUGUAUCUUGUGCUUCAGCUCAUCAUGAGAUGAUGUUGGGGUCGGUGGAUUUAAGCUAUCAAGUGAAGCUAAGUGACAUCACAAAUGUUGUUGCAGAGAGGGUAUCCUGAACAUUCCAUAUUCUCUCAUUAGAAGUCGAACUUGAAAUAUGAUUAUAUUGGAUCUUUGAUACUUUACUGAUAUCUUGAUCUUUGUUUCUAUAUACAUAUGCGUAUCUGUCUGUUUAUCUCCCUAAGUUCCCGCACCCUUUAUUUAUAUAUCUCUGUGUAAUAAUAUGAAGUUUUGACUGCUAAGUUGUGAGUAGAAUAGUCUCAAACUCAUUUUAAUUUUAAUUUUGCUUCCUUGUAACUGUGUCUAUAAAUCUCUAUAUCCCUACAUCCAUGGAUUUAGGAUUGAUCUUGCAAGAGUUUAGGUUUUUAACAGUUUGCAUGUUGGUAUUAUCAGCGCAUCAAAUGUUUCCAAAAUUAGGUUCUUCAUUACUGUUUCUACAGGUAUUUCCUGUAGGAAAUUUUGUAUAUUAGCUUUGGAAAUCUUGUAGAAGUUCAAAUUAGAGACUGUGGAGUGUGGAUUGGCGACCUCCCUAACUGUUGGUAUUUCAAAAAAGAUUCCUCUAAUUAGAUUUCCACAGUUUACAUGUUGUUUUAUUAGUCAAUAUAAGAUGUUGAAUGUUUCCGAAGGCUUAUAGCUGCAGCAGUUCUCACCACUUGUAUCUCUAUUUUGCAGAACCUUCAAAUUGGACAGGCUGGCCCAUCUUACUCUGACUCUGCAGAAUUCAGUGGAAAGAAUCGUUCUUCAUUGUUGAUUGCACGAUCCUCUGUAGAUAUUGGUAUGUAUUUCAUGCAAUAUGUUGUUCCCAAAGAAAUACAGAAAUACAAGUCGAUCUAAAGAUCUUAGGCCCUGACUGAGGUUCCCUUUGGCAGACGUGCUCUUUGAGUAGAGCUAAAGGGAAAGGCACGAAUAUUUUUGUCAUCAAAUUUUACCAGAAGAGCUUCCGCUUCAGUAGAAGCAGAGGCUUGAAAAUGGAACUACUGCUUCUGGGGUGUAGAAGCCCAUUCUUGCUAAGCUAAAAGCUCUAUACUUCUUGUUUGCCAAAUGCAUGGGUGUUGCUUUUUGUAACACAGAAGUUGUUCCAAAAGCUAGGCCUUGGCCAUAAGUUUGUGACGGGUCACUAUAUUUUUAGUUAAAAUUUGGCUGUUUAGGUUCAAGCAAGAGUUCUAAGUAUGAUCAUUUUGCUGUAGAUUGCUCAGUUCAGGUUUCUGCUGAUUCAGCUCGGUGCUCAUCUCAUCUGCGGGCUUGUAGUUCAUUUGUAUGUUUGCCUUUGUUGAGAUUUUGAUUUCUCUCUAAAUUAUGGACUAGAAUAUUGCAUACUUUGAUUUUAGAAAGCAUCAAAUAAUUGAGAAAAUUCUAAUUUGGAAUCAAACAUCUUUUGAAUAUACAGGGUUCUCCAGCAGACAGAACAUCUUGUAAGGACAUUACUGAUGGGGAUAUCAAUUUACUUGCUAUGCCUCCUUGUAGAGCUGGGGAGAAAUUUGAAAAAACCUAUGAUGUUAUUUUGAUAUUGGACGAUCGUGAAAACUUUGGGUCAGUAUAGCAAAUUGAAGAUGCUAGUAUAUCAUAGUGGAAGAACAUAUUGAUAUAUGCUCAUUCCCGUUUUUUCCAUUUCAUCAUGAAUUGGUGGAUAUGAGACCGCGAGUUCAGGCUUCUGCAUCAACUAUGAAAGGAGUUUUUCUUGUGAUGUACUUACAUGCAAGAAGUGUUUUUUUUAGAGAUUCUCGAUAGUGCUACAAGUUUGUUUUAAUUCCUAGAUAUCCGUUUAUCUAAUUCACUAUCAACGCUUUCAUUGUUGUGCCUGUUUGAAUGUCUAAUUAAUAGCAUGUAUGUCGUCUGGAAAAUCAUUUCUCCAAAAUAUUAUCAUCUUUAUGCACCAAUACUAUGCGUAUCCUUAUUUCUGCAAUGAAUUCUCAAAUGUAAGUAACUCAGCAUGCUCACUUUUUCCUUAUAUUUUCAGGUCUCGUUCAAGAAAAGUUGUAGAUAAUAUACGCUCCCAAUUUGGUAUUUUUGUAGAGGUUAGUAAUCUAUUUUAGAUUAAUGUAAGUGCUGUUUCUAAUACUUUUUUUUUGGCAAUUUGUUAUUGUUUUUGUCAUUAGGUUUUUUAACUUGGUACAUGCCUGGUGAGUGCUGAAUACAACUAAAAAGAGAAAUGAAGUACUACUAGUCUAGACACCAUUCACUUGAGUGCCUGGUUUUACCAGCUUUGCAGUUUAUGUUUGAAACACUGGGUGUAUAAGUUUUAUUAAUAUGUAUUCUCAUAUUAUAGUGCAUUUCCAACUGUUUUAUACUCUGUAUUGAGUGUUGUAUUACAUCACAAUGCGACAGGUUAGACGCUUGCCUGUUGGAGAUGGAAUUUGGAUUGUUCGACAUAGACAACUGAACAAGGAGUAUGUUCUUGACUUUAUUGUUGAAAGGAAAAAGGUUGAUGAUCUAUGCAGCUCGAUUAGGGAUAACCGAUAUAGAGAUCAGAAAUUGAGGUUACAGGUAUUGAUUCUUAGCAGUUGUUUCAAUAUCACAGUUUGUUUUCAGCUCCUGUUCAUAUUUGGAGGUUAAGGUUAUACUGUCAUCUAUAGUUAAACUUUUAUUUUCCUAUACACUUACUAUCAUUAGUUGCGUGGACGUUCAACUAGCUUUAGUGAUAAUAUAUGUGCUUCAAUUGUCUUUUACAUCUUUCUCCUUGUUCUGUCAAGCUUUGUGAGUUUAUGAUAUAAUUGCCAUUCUGUGUUCGUGUCUGCCUCGCUACUGUAAUUCUGUUAAAUGUUUACUCCGUAAUUUGCGUAGAGAUGUGGACUGAGCAAGCUGAUAUAUCUUGUUGAAGGUGACCCAAAUUCCCUGGAAGCUGCAGAAAGUAUUAAAACAGCGUAUGCACAUUUCACAGUUAUUUUUGUUGUCCGUUUUCAAAUUUUGAUCCUUUUGGAAGUCGUCUGUCCAUUAAAACAAUUAAAUUUUCCUUUUUUCUUUUUCAUGAAAUUGAUGUUUUGUUUGUAUUUCAAGACAACGUAAGAUUGAAAAUGUACUGUUUCUUAUUAAGAUUAUGCUUGUGUGUUCUCUCAGCUGCUUCACCACAGAGAUCUUAGAAGGAUUUGAUGUGCAGAGGACUAGUGGUUUUGCAGAUACUAUAAGGAAAUAUGGUUACCUUACGCAGUCAAUAACACAAUAUUACAGUACACACCUCUCUUAUGGGUCUCGAAGAUCAAGAGUUUGCCCCUCGUUUGAUGAGUUUGUUAAGAAGUGUCAUGAUCUUGAGAAGAUGACAGUUAGUGAUGUAUUUGCACUCCAACUCAUGCAGGUGACUCUCCCUACUAAACGAAGCAUUCUACCUAACACUCAGUCUACUCCGCCGACGAUCUUCUUUUGGGGAUUUGGCAAACACAUCCAUUUUUUUGCGAUUUUCCGAUACUGCUGCACUUUUUUGUUUUUCAAAUUUUGGACUGAAUUGCAUUCCUUCCGACCUCUCCUUGUGAUGAAAUUUGUUUGGAUAUUUCCAUCAGUGCAUCUUGUCCACUGAAAAGACAUCUCAUUCCAGAGUAGCAAAAAUUUAACCAGGGUUGCAAAAAUAAAAACUUUUGGAUUUAUUUGUAAAUACCCUUUUCUAUCUCUUACCCCACGACAAAAUUCUCUGAGUUCAUGUGACAAUAUAAAUGUUGGUUUCUGCAGGUCCCACAAGUUACAGAAGAGAUUGCACUUGCAGUUAUAGCCAUAUAUCCUACCCUUUUAUCACUUGCUCAGGCCUACUCCCAGUGUGUGAGUACUCUCUCUUUCACUAACUAUUCAAUGUCUUCCUAAACUAUGAACCUUUAGGUAGUGUUGGUUGGAGGAUUUUGCCGUAGGGAUAAGAUAAAUAUUUAUGAUGUGAACUCUAGUUUGAGCAGUUAUAUCCUAUUCUGUUUGCUCGAGAUGUUGAAGACUGCCUAGAAUAACUAGCUAUUUACCUUGCUAUCACGAUUCCACCCAAUCAUUUGGAAAUGUUGUACAUGGAAUAAUUCUUCUGCCAGAUUCUAGGUAGGAAUUCCGACUUGGGAAAAUUGCGGGAAUUCCAUUUCUGCGUAACUCUCAUUUUUAUCUUCCAACCAAACACUAGUUAAGAAGGCAUUUUUCAAUUGAUUGAAUUAGCAAUAAUUUCUCAUGCUUGCAUUAUUGAAGGAAGGAGAUGUUCGUGCCCAGGAGGAGAUGUUAAAGAACAAGAAUGCGAAAAUAAGUGGCGUUGCUAGUAGAAACAUUUUUAAGCUGGUAUGGGGAGCUUGAUAAUAUAUCCACUGUUUGAUGCGCGAAAGAUGUUUCAAUCUCCAGUAACAUUCAAAGUCAGCAGCUCGAUGACUUACAUAGUUAUUAGAAAGCUCUUCUUUUGCUAACUGAUACAGUUUAGGCUUUGUAUUACUGCAUGCCUUGCGCCGACGAAAGCAGAUUGAUUUUGGAUGGUUUAAUCAUCAAAAAAAAGAGGAAAAAGGAAGUGGCAAUGUGUAUCUUCUUUCCCUUUUCUCCCUUAAGAUCAUGGUGCUCCUCUUAAGUUAAUACUAUGUUUAUUGCUUCUCUUGUUGUAUUUGUACACUUGGACUAUCCACCCUGUUAAUGUUAAAUCCGAUGAGCUGCUGUUGUUACUAUUUUUAGCUUUGCUUUGGCAAAAUUUUUGUUGAUUAUUCAUUUUAACAAAUGUAAUUUUGUUUUUCCGAGCACAUUAUGAAAGAAAGCAUCUAUAAUAUAGUGAGAUACUUGAUAUAAAGCAGAGGUAACAUUUUUCACUUUCCAGCAUGAAGUGGAAUUAGUUUUCAAAUUUUAGUUUUUUUUUUUAGUAUUUUGAUUUAUAAAAUAUCAAGCGUACUGUUGUAGAUUUCGUAAAAAGAUGCUUGUCUCUGUAUGAUGCUCAUGAUGUAUACUUUUGAUUGAUUUAUUUACACAGUUUAAAUACUUAAAUAAAAAUAGUAAGUGUCUCUUCAAACAGGCCAAUUAAGCACGCACCACCUACCCAUCGGUACAAAACGUCGAACGUUGUUUUCCUGAAACUUUUGUUUUCUUUUUCUAAAAAAAUCUAAAUCCCUGAUGAGAAAACAAAAAAGACAAAAGGGGUGAAAACAAGUGAUCCACAGCUCCUUCCAACAGUCCAAACGAGAACAACAAACUUACUAAAAAAAAGAACAAAAAAAAAAAACUUCAAAUAUACUCAUAUGAUUUCGCAUUUUCUUACUUUAGUACCCUAUGAUUUAGAGUGUAUCAAAUUAGUAUUUUAUGAUUUUAUUUUAUUUUUUUCGUUAGCUCCUCUGUUAAUAUUUUGUUAAAUUAUAUACAGAAAAAUUUCAGAUACCCUACUUAGAUUUAUCGAAUAUUCACUUUAGUACUAUUUAGUUUUAACUUUGUCACUGAUUCGACGAAAGAAAAUUAGUGAAAUGGAUAAUAAAAAGAAAAAAAUAAAAUUUUAUGGUACUAAAUUGGUAUAUUUUAAACUACAGAAUAUUAAAUCAUUUCUCUUUUUUUUUUUCUUUUUAUUUUUUUAGAGAAAACUUUAAAUAUCACUUUUGUGGUUUCACACUUUCUCACUUUAAUAUCCUCCGCAUCUGUUCGCUCAACAACACUCGUGCGGUGUUCUAAACCCUAAACCUUCCCCAAUUUGGCGGGAAAUUUGCAAAAAAAAAAAAAAAAAAAAAAAAAAAAAAAAAAAACCCCAACAAAAAAAAAAAAAAAAAAAAAAAAAAAAAAAAAAAAACCCUCCCCCAAUCACGCUUUGAAAAUCGUACGGCGGUGGGAAUAGGGAAUGUGGGGUGGCGGUGGAGGUGGAGGUGGAGGUGACGAUGCUGCUUUUAAGCAUGGCGACGUGGGCAAGAAAACAACUACACAUCUCUGAAGCGACUUCUCCUCUCCUUUACCCCACAAAACUCCAACCCACUCUUCUACCUGUCUCCAUUUACACCUCCUUCCCUUAUUCUCCAUCCACAUCUACCUCCCCUCUGUAUUUUGUGAAACAAACAAACAAAAUUAAUUAAAGAUAUAAUAAUAAUAAUAAUAAUAAUAAUAAUAAUAAUGGGAAUAGGUUAAUAAUAGAGUUCCGGCUAUAAUACUUUUAAAAGCACUAAGUACUUGAUGCUGAUAAAUGUUCUACCGUUACAUAUAUUUCUUUGACCAUAGUGCUUGUAAGUUUUCUGCCGUUAGAUUUAUUUUAUUGAUCAUUUUCAAUACUAAAAUACUACUAUUAUCCUAACCGUACAUUCUUUGAUCCAAGGACCGAAAACCUACAAAUACUUUUAAAAGUAUUGGAGCUCAAUUCAAGUUAAUAUGUAUUUUUACGGAGUAAGAAUAAGUAAAAAAAAGUAAAAAUGUAUAGAAAUUAUCUUAACUAAAAUUAAAGUUUUGAAAGAGUUGAUAGUCUAAUCAAAAAAAUUAAUUGCUCAGUUAACUUUUAUACGUUUUUACCUGAAGAAAAUUCAUCUCACUAGUUGAUGCGAGCCGAGAAGUUUGAAUCUCACUGGAGGUUGUUGGCGUGUUUUAAAAUGUUCCGCUUAGAUUCGAAAUCAGAUUAUCACCUCUAAAUAAUUUAUAUACUAUUAGAGAUCAAAAUUUUCAGUCUAUAAUUAUAUCCUAGUAAUUGUGAUACUCGAAAUUAUUUCACGUGUAAGGUAAUUUACUGUAUUGUAAGAUAGAUAAUUUAGUAGCUGUUGAAUAAACAAACACAAGAACAAUGAUUUGUGUUUAUAGUUUCUAUUGGUCGAUUAUCAUAUACCUCUAUACCACAUUGUGGACAACUUUUAUAUUAUUCAUAACAAAACUAUGACAUAAUCCUUGAGUAAAUAAAUAAAAGAUGUAUUCUGUAUCCUAUAUUCAUUUAUUAGAACAGGUAUGUUGCUAUUAUUUAACUAGUGUAUAAAUUUACGUACACUUUAACUAUUUAUACGUACAUGUUGUUUACGACAAAAUAAGUGAAACCGUACUUUUUUGAGCCUAAAAAAAGUGGCACGUCACUCGCUUUCUCUCUCUUUCUCUUUUUUCUCUCUCUACACUAAAAACAAAAAUCUCUCUCUCUCUCCUUAAAUAUUAAUAAGAGAAAUUUGGGGUAGAGAAUCUAACACGUUUCAUGCAUGCUUCUACCAUAAAGAUUGUGGUGACCAUGGUUGUACCUCACUCUUGCGUAUCCAAAAUUGAACUAUCAUAUUAAUCCCAAUAAAUGUCGUCCUUUGUAAAAUCUUUAAAUAUCUUUGAUCUUUAAUUUUAACGGCACCCGCAUACGUAUGUGUUAUUCAAAUAUCAGAAACUAUAUAUAUAUUCAUCACUUUAAAUUUCAAAUACGUGCACAAAUUCUACUUAUCAUUUAGACGGAAUGGCUUCAGUACACCCUUCAUUCUAUCUGUAAAUACUAAUGAGAUACAAUAUAUAUAUAUAUAUAUAUAUAGAGCUAGAAUACUUUUAAAAGUAUUAUUCCAUUAGUGCUUCAAUAUUUUUGCUUUGAUAACUAGGAAACUGAAACUAUUUCAGUCUUAUUGUUUGUUUGCUGGGAGCAAAUGACGUAAAAGUUGAAGUUAAAAUUAAAGUAAAAUUAUAUUAUUGUUUUUUUCUCAUUUUCUUUUGUAAUUGAUAUCAGCUCGAGAUGAGUCAAGGUCAAUUACGGUAUUUAGGAACAUUUAAGUUUCGAUCAAAAGUGAAAGUAUGUGGAACAAACUAUAAAAACGAAUAUUUAUGAUUAAAGAUUAUUUCACUAUCACUGACCGUCCCUAGAACAAGUGGCAAAGGACUUGGUAGUUGGUAUCCGAGACUCAAGUUCGAAUCCUAGUUGAUUAACAUUUCUUGCUAAGUUUAUUUCUAAAUAAAAUAAACGAAGCGGGUAGCGUGUUGACUAUCUCUUAAAAAAAAAAGAAAAAAAAAGAAGAUUAUUUCACUAUCUUUUUUUGUUUUUUUUGAGAAAAAGACAACAUACUACCCGCUUCGUUUAUUUCUUUUAGAAAUAAACUUACUGAAAAUAUGAAUUAAUUAAAAUUUAAAUUUGAGAUAUCGAAUAUCAAUCACAAAAAUUUUUGUCACUUGUGCUCGAAACGGUGGGCACACUGCCUUUUAUUUUCAGUGAAACAAACACAUUGCUUUGUAUAAUUGUAUUGUCACAAACCCAUAAGCCCAAAGAAAAGGCAAAAAAUAGUGUCACAAUUCUAAACAUACUAAAAAAAGGUCUCUCUCUCUCUCUCUUUCUCUCUCUCAUGGUUUAAUUUGAGUUUGAGGAGGGGGUAUUAAAUUAAGUUGGGCCCCCUCCUCUACACCCCCAUUUUGUCCUCUUCCCAAACCUCCUUGUCUCUUUGUCUUCAAACCUCAAGGAUAAGAACACUCUCCAUGAGCUAAAGGACAAAUGGAGGAGGGUUAAUUUGGACUCAUUCAUGGGGUGGGUGGUGCUCCUCCUCUUCUUUCCCCACACCCCCAUCUCACCCCCCAUAGGAAAAAAACAAAACAAAAAACCAUGAGCACUGUUGUUUUGUUUCUGUUAGGGCAUUGUUGUCUCCUUCUCUGGAUAAGGAAUAACGAGGCCAACCCCCACUUUAUUCCCCCAUCUGCCCACUUCCCAACACACCCAAACUAUAAAAAUUAAUAAAAGAAAGAAAAAAUAAAAACUAGUUGGGGAAACUAACACACACAUAUCCUCAUGUUUGUGUUAAUUUGUCACACUUUAUAAGGUGCUACUUAAAAAAAAAAAAGAUAUUAAUCGUUCAUAACUUAUCUGAACUGUAGAACAUUUUGAGUCCGAGUCGGCUAUUUAAUCGUUAAAAAAUUGGAUGGUAAAAUUAAGAUAUUGAAAGGUUGGACAAUCGACUGAAAAUUAUCUACAAUUCAUAAUAAUUAAAUUACGUAUCAUUUUUAAAAAAAAUUAAUUUAAUAUAAAAUUAUCUAAAAAUAGUCAUAUUGUGCAUAAUAAUUGAAAAGGUAAUCAUAUAAUAAAGCUAGGAGCUUGACAUUACUCGAACUCAGAUUUUUUUUUUUUUGAGAGAUAGAUAGCACGCUACCCUCUUCGUUUAUUUCAUUUAGAAAUAAACUUAGCUGAAAAUGUAAAUCCACUAGAAUUCGAACUUGGGUCUCGAGUACUAACCACCAAGCUCUUUGUCAUUUGCUCUAGGGACGGCCAGUGAUAUUACGUAAAACAACCAUUAUAGUCUAAAAGCCUUAACUAUUAGAAAAUAGUAUUUAUAUAUCACAAUUACAUUCUCCUAAAAAUAUCUCUGUUAUCGCUAAUAUGUUAGCUGGUAUGUAUUGUACGAACUAAUUUAUUAUGUUUUUCAUCAGAGUAGCCUAUAUUGAAGUAGCACGCCACAAGCAAUUUGAAACGUGUACACGCAUAAAAUAGGGUCAUGUUUUUUAUGCGUAAUUUAGUAACACAGGGUAAUCAAAAGAUGUUAAAAAAGAAAUUACAUAACAGUGAAGUUGGAAUUAUCUUAAACACAAGUAUCAAUUAAAACAACUCAAAUGUUAAUACUUACAUAUAAAUACACACACACAUAUAUAUAUAUAUAUAUAUAUAUAUAUAUAUAUAUAUUCCUUAGCACUCCCAAACAGACGCCAAAGGCAAAAGGGGACAAAAAAGUGAAGCCCUUUUUUUGUCUUCGACCCCCACAAGAGCCAAAGAGUGCUCUCCCUUUCAAUCCCCCACCCCCACCUCCUUUGCUGUUACACUGACCCUCCUCUCCUGCAGCUCUGCUCUCCCCCAGAGCCUUUCCUGGAGAGUAAAAUAGCCUAAACUGAAUAAACUCUUUCUUUAAGAGUGGGUGCAGAGAGAGAGAGAGAGAGAGAGAGAGAGAGAGAGAUCAGAGAUCAGAGAUCAGAGAGAGAGAGAGAAGUUUAAUUUGGUUGCAUAUCUUAAUUAGCACAUCUUGAAGAGGGAGUGACUGACUGAGAGAACUCCUGAUCUUAUUACUCUCCCUUGUAUAUUCAGGUGAGCUCUCUCUUUUUGGAGUCUUAUUAUAUAUGGGUGUUGGAUGAGCACCCACCCAGUUGGAGUUUUUGGGCUUAUGAUUAUUAUUGUUGCGAUCUCCACAAUCAAAUUAAAACCCAUUGAUUCGACCACAUACGCAUGUACCCUGUUCUCCCGUUUUCUUUCUCCUGUCGUUUUUGAGAAGAUUGGUAGAAAAUCCCGUCUCCUGUUCUCUCCUGUUCUAAAAGCCCAAAAACUUGGGCUCUUUUAAAGAACAAAAGAAAAAAAUUUGGGGUUCAAUGUCUCCGAAACGCAUGAACUUGGUAAUGUUCAUGCGCUCGUCCCCGCUGUCGAACUCUUUUGUAGAACUGUUUCUUCCUUCUACUUAUAGCCUUCUAUAAAUAACUCUUCUUCUUCUUCUUCUUCUUCCGAAUCAUCUCAAGGGCCCAUUAAUCUCUCCUAAAAGCACAAACUUGGUAGUUGAUGAUGAUGAUGAUCAUCAUAGGGUAAUAAAAUACCCAAAAUUAGCAGUUCCUUUAAUUAGCAGUUCGAUCCCCGAUCGAAUCUCCGCCGCUGCGGCGGCGGCGUCGGCGGCGUUAUGGUUCAGGACGAUGGGUCGUCGUCGUCCUCGGCGACGUCGUCCUCGCCGCUCCAGAGCUUCUCCCAGAUGACGCUGUCGCCCACGGCCGCCGGGGCCGGGGCCGGGGCGUGGGUCGGGGAGCUGCGGUCGGAGGAGCGGGGGCUGUACCUGAUCCACCUGCUGCUGAACUGCGCCCACGAGGUGGCGGCGGGCGCCCUGGAGCGCGCGUCGGCGCUCCUCGACCACGUCUCCGCCCUCGCCCACCCCUCCGGCGACCCCAUGCAGCGCCUCGCCACCUCCUUCGCCGACGCCCUCGCCCGCCGCGCCCUCCUCCGCUCCUUCCCGGGCCUCCUCCGCUCCCUCUCCCCCUCCGCCCCCCCUCCCCCCGCAUCGUCGUCGUCGUCGUCGUCCUCGUGGCCGUCAUCGACCCCGGCGCUCCGCCACUUCUUCAGGCUCUGCCCCUUCCUCCCCCUCGCCGCCGCCCUCUCCAACCACGCCGUGGCGGCGGCCAUGGAGUCGGAGCGCGUGGUCCACGUCGUCGACCUCCGCGCCCCCUCCGACCCCGCCCCCGCCGGCGACCUCCUACCCUCCUGGCGUCCCGGCCCGGCGGGCCCCCGCACCUCCGGCUGACCGCCAUCCACCCCGACCCCGACGCCCUCGCCCUCCUCGCCUCGUCCCUCUCCAAGGAGGCCGAGCUCCUGGACGUCCCCUUCCAAUUCCACCCCCUCCUCUGCCCCGACCUCCGGCGCCUCGACCUGGAGUCCCUCAAGAUCAAAUCCGGCGAGGCCCUGGCCGUGACCUCGACCCUGGCCCUCCACUCCCUCCUCUCCUCCUCCGAGUCCCUCUCCUCCUUCCUCUACUCCCUCCAGCGCCUCCGCCCCAAGGUCCUCGUCCUCGCCGAGCAGGAGGCCGACCACAACGGCCCCACCCUCGUGGCGCGCUUCGUCGAGUCGCUCAACUUCUACGCCGCGCUCUUCGACUGCCUGGAGUCGGCCGCCCCCCGCCACUCCCCCGAGCGCGCCGCCGUGGAGCGCCUGCUGCUGGGCGAGGAGAUCCGCAACAUCAUCGUCUGCGACGGCCCCGACCGCACGGAGCGCCACGAGAAGUUCGACCGCUGGGCCCGCCGCCUCCACGCCGCCGGCUUCUCCCCCCUCGCCCCCUCCUUCCCCGCCCGCCGCCUCCUCCACGACUUCCGCUGCCACGGCUGCAAGCUGCGCCACGACGACGCCUGCCUCUUCAUCUGCUGGCAGGACCGCCCCCUCUUCUCCGUCUCCGCCUGGACUUGCCGCCGCUUAAUCGAUUGACUACUUGACUACUACUCAAUCACUACUCAUCUCCUCUCUAUCUAUCUAUCUAUCUUUCUAUCUAUCUUCUUCUUCCAAACAAGAAAGAUUAGAGAUAGGUAGUAGUAGGUCCUGCAUGUGUAGUUCUUCUUUUAAUAUAUUUUUUAACCUUAACUUACUUAGGCUAGCUAGCUUUUAUUAAUUUGCUGGUCUCUGUUCUUUUUUCUUUUUUUCUUUGUUUCUUUUUUCUUUUUUUUUUGGCUAGGCAAUGCUGUGUAUAUAUCCUCUUGCUCCACCUCUACUAAUGCAGCGAUGCAAUGUGCUCUUGCAAAAAGAGACCUCUCUCUGUAUGUGUGUGUGGUUUUAACCCUUGUUAAUAUGUUAGCCAGUGAUCCAUCUCUUUCCUUUGCAGACCUCAUUCCACUGCAGAGAAUUUGAGCAAAAAGAAUGAAAACUUGCAAGCAUAGAAAUUAGCAAGAGAUUUUUUUUUUUUUUUUUUUUUUUGGGCCUUCGUAUCAAUCAAUCAUGGUUCAUCUUCUAUGAGGGAAACUGACACUUCAUUACUGCAUUUGUCUCAACGGGACUAAAAAUAAAAAACACUUGUUGUGAUGUGUCAUAGCCUUUUCUCUUCUAGCAUUAUUGCUGUGCUGGAUCAUAAUAGUGCCCAUUUUUGGUGGCAUCUUGUGUAUGGAAAGAUUUGAAUACAACAAAUUUUCCUUUCCGCUCAUGGCUGCUUGUUUUUUUUGUCCUGGCCUGUUAGGUUUCCUGUCAUCUCAUCUUCACGCUCGCAUACACCAUGUCCUUAUUUCUAGUUUCAUGAGUGUUCUUCUACUUCGUGUUGUUCCUAUCUGUUUUUUGUUCGCUCUGAACAUGACAGUUGUUGUCUUUUGCAUUAAGCUAUUUGUGUUAAGAAUAUUGAACGCAUAAUAAUAAUAUUAAAUUCCUGAUUUGUAUAUAACCCACCAAAUUAGAGAUAGAGAUUCCACCUCUCUCGAAUUGUAACUGGCCCUAGUUACUUGAAACAGUAGUUUCCUAUUUUAUCUGCAAUUUUGUGAGUGAGAUAGUCUUUCGGUUGGACUUUAAAUUCUCACUAAAUUGUAGAAAUUUUUUUUCUAAAUACUUUUUUUUUUUUAAUUUUUUAAAAAAUUAUAUUUUAUUCUCUUAAUAUUUCAAAUUGUUGCGUUUAACCCUUCUCAGCUAGAGUUUCAUUCCUAUCCCGUUUAUUUAUUUUUUAUAUUUUAUAUUGAAAAUACCUUUAAAAAAAUAAAAAUAUAUUGAAAAAUAUUUCAAUAGAAAAUUUUUUUAAUCUGAAUAAAAGAUAUCAUAAUGUGACUGUAUUCGAAUACACAAAUAAAGUUUUAGAGAGUGCAAAACUAUUUGAAAUUUCUCUUUUAGGUUUGGGAGUUGUUAUUUUUUAAUUAUUAUUUUUUAAUAUAGUUUUGUAAAAACUUACAUUUUAUAAAAUUCUACACUGAUGUAAUUAAGUUUUAUUUUUUAAUAAAAUGCCUACAGGCUUUAACCUAAAAAAAUAAAUAAAUAAAUAAAUAAAUAACUAUUCGAAUAUUGUAAAAAAUCGGAUGCGGAUAACUAAAAAUUUCGAAAUUUGUCAGUAAUCGGAUCCUCUCUUUCUCUCCUAAAACCGAACCCGUACCCGCUCCGCUCCCUCACCCCGACGAAACCGUAAACCCCGCACGUUCUCUCAUCUCCCUCCGCAUCUCCCAUUCUCCGCUCAUCUCUCCUCUCUCCAAACCCUAAACUCUCUCUCUCUCUCUCGAUCUCUCGAUCUCUCGACCCCGCUCUCUCGCGAGGACGACGACGAGGAGUCGGUGGCGAUAUCUAGGGUUAGCUCCCCUUAUCGAUACCUCUCUAGUGAUUAAGGAAUCAAAUUAAUGUUUAUGGAAGCUUGGUUUUUUGGACUAAAUGUAUGCUUUAAUGUUGCAAGAAUUUAUAGGUUUCCUUUGCUGAUGCUUUACUUACUGAUCGAACGAUUGUGCAUUUCUCCAUAGACAAGAACCAAAGUGGGCGUAGAAAUUGAUAAAUUAAGUUGUGUAAAUGUUUUCAGCAUCAGAUUCAUCAAUUCCAACUGCUGUACGUGUGUCCUAUGAGCAACAUUUCUUGUGUUUUGUUCUUUCUCACCAACUUGCUUAGUUUCUGAACUUUCGCAGCUUCGUGCACCGGUACGUGAAUCAGGACCAAAUAAGAUUAUCAACAACUGUCUAACAGCAAUUCUGACGCAGCUUGUCAACAAUAAACUUCGAUUAUCGAGCAAUUUUAGUUACUUUCAGCUGUUUCGACAUAAGUAAUUAUGUCAGUGGACUUUUCUCUGUUGUUAACCCAAUCAUGUAGUUCUAAUUAACCAUACAAAAAGGUGUCUGGAACUAGAAUAACCUGAAAGUUGAAUCCGCCUGUCAUUCCGUCAAUGUUGAGCACCUGCGUCCAAAUCACCUUCUGUGAUGCAAUAUCUUUCGCACGAAAUUUCUAAUCUUUUUAUGGAAAUAUCAAAAUCUCACCUCUCCUGGAAAGAAGAGAUUUGGUUGCUUCUGACUUUUCCAUGGGGUUAAGUGAAAUCUUCAUAAACAAGGGAAUAGAAUUAGGGAAUUGGGUUAGAGUAUGAAAUAAUGGAGGAGUUGAUCGUUUGUAACCUAAUGAUGCUAAAGUUUCUUUUGUUUUUGUUGUAAGUUGUAACCUAAAUUGCCUGGUAGGCCAUUUCUUUGUAUUAGUUUUGCUAAUGCGGCAUGUAGUUUCUUGCUGACAUUUGAGUUUAACUUUGUAGGUCUUUCAAUGGCAGAAGGUACGUCUGCUAAUCAUGAGGACCUCCGCAAUCUAAUGACGUCCUUAGCGGAAUUUAACAUGGAGACGGCAUCAUUCACCGAACAUAAUCAAAGGGAGCGACAUGGUAUGAAUAUAUGCCCCUUCCAUUACAUAUUGAAUUUAGACAUCUCUAAUCUUCUCUUUGAAAAGUUUUGCGUUUUGCAUAUGCUACUUUACCGGUAUUGCAUGUGGAUUAAUUCUGUUCUUAAAUUUAGCUAGACAUUUUUAAAUCUAGGUGUCUCAAGUGUUUGCUUAUUUGCAAACUUAUAACUGCACAUCAGAUUAUUAUAUAUUGUUUUCAUUUUUUAUGUGACUAUGUUGUUAAAUGUAUUUAUAUGACUUUGAAAAAAAAUCGAUGUCCUCAUUUGUCACUUCGAAAGAAGCUCGCUUAUGUAGCGUGUUGAUUUUUAAGGUACUCAGAUAUUCUAUGAUGAAGAUCUAGUCUCUCUUUGCGGUUUGCAUGUGCUGACCAUGAAUUGUGGAAUUGGAGUUUGAGAUGGUUGUAGUAGAGCGUACAAUGUGGUUUAGCAAAGGUAAUAACUAUGUCAAUUAAUACAUUGUAUGUUAUGAUUUCAGAUAACGGUUCUGAUGAUUGCUUCGGUGAAGAUGAAAUAUGGGGAGAUGCUUCAGAUGACGACGUGAAUCAUGGCACUGCUUUAAGCAGAGAAUGGGAAUGGAGGCACAACCGAUUUCAUACUGUAUCCUUGACAGAUGUUCUAUUCACAUUUACUCCCUAUAUUUAUGUUGUUCUUUGAAUUUUUGUGCUAGACAAAUCGGACUUAACAAAAGAUUAGAUGGGUUACCGGGAUGGUAUAACUGAAGGAAAGCAAGCUUCUGCACAAGAGGGUUUCAAUAUUGGCUUUAAACAGUCCGUGCUUGUUGGUUACAAAUGGGGCCUUGUUAGAGGCAUUACCAGGUAAAUUGGUAAUUCACUUUGUCAUACACUUUUUCCCUUUAAUUUUUAAUCUCUCUAACAUUUUCUUGAUUAUUGUGUAUUCACAGUGCAAUAGCUAGCCUUCCUGAAAACUUGAGAGAGAAAUUAGUGCCCAAGUCUGAGAUCCGGAAAGGAUUUGAGAACUUGCACACUUCUGUGCAGACGAUUUCAACCACUGAUGCACUCAAGAUGUAUCAUAAAAGCAUUGCUGCGAGUGAAGCAGGGCAGUCCUCUGAUCAUUCAGAGCAGAAGCUCCAAGACGAAGAUUCCAAUGCCAACAAAUUGGAGACUCUAUCUAAUGAUCUCAUUCUCCUCCUACACGAAACUCCCGAGAUAAAAAUCACCGAAGAAGAAUUAAAGACGCGAGAUAAGUAAAUAACCUCCUCGUAAAGGAAGUUGGUGGCGUCGUGUAUGUUGUACAAGAUAUACGUGUAUUUUAGCACCAAAAUGUGCCUUCCAAUACUGAAGCUGCAGAUCAGUUCAGAGUAAACGCGGCACUAUCAUUUUACUUUUUUUUCUUUUGUAGGGAAAUUAGUUGUGAGUCAACUUGUCCGGAUUAACGUUAAUGUAGAAAUCCAUCUACCUCAUCUUUUGCUAUUAUGUGUUUAGUGUAAUUCUUUUUCAUGCUUAAUUAUGAUUAACCAGAGUUAAAGGAGCAAAGAAGAAUCAUUAUGUUGAUAAUUGAUGACUGUAAGUCUGUAACAUGAAAUUCCUUUAUUUUCUCUCAUGCUCGAGUUGGUAUCACGUUUCCGACAAGAGGGUAAUUUUUUAAUAUAAAUCUUUCAAAAUAGUUCUUCUCCCCAGCAAAUGCAAAAUAGAUGGAAAUAUGUAUAGCUAACUCUUUUGAGUUAUUUUAACUGAAAUCUCUGGCUUGUGAUACUGCUGCUGUUUUUCUCCAUUUUUAAAAUUCAUGUGAGGUUCAGAUCCUCUUGAACCCUCUGAUAAGCAUUAAAAAAAAAAGAUGGAUGAGAACUCAUCCAAAUCAAUUGAUAAUUAAUUUUCAAAGAUUACACAUAUCAGGGGGUAUAAUCUGUGCAAUUAUGCAUAUAGCCUGUGCAGAAACUGUAUUAACUGCAAGAAGAAAUGUUUAAACACUACUGUUAUAAAUAUCAGGGCAUUUAUUUGAUACAUUACUAAUCAUAUAACAAACCCCGGUAGUCAGGUCAGUCAUUAAACAUGGAUUAUAUAUUUACAUUUCAUAAUAACUUUGUAGAUCCUUUGCUUCUUACACCCCCACAGUGCAAACUAUAUGAACAACAAAUCAGUUUGUCACCAUAGAUCAUUCACUUCCUGGUCCCUGGCUCUAAUAUUGCAGCGACCCCGCAAGUUAUUUGUUAGUUUCAACCAUACUAUAACACAACAACAAAAGAGGAAAAGAGAAGAGAAAAAUUAGAACAUGAAACCUUACAGGAGAACUAGCAAUUAAGAUAGCUUACUUUUUCGGGGUAAAUGUUAUUACAGUUGUUCAAACCAUCAGCUGCAAGCUUGGAUAGGCCUGAAUCUUGCUGUCUCAUUCUGCACGGAUUUUUCACACACAGGUAUCGGUAUAACGGUCUCGAAGGCUUCUACAAGCAGUUCGACUUUCUUUUUCCGAGCAGGAGCUAACUUGUUUACUGCUUUCCGAAGCGCAUAAUCUAUCAUCCAUUCCUCCGCGUUCUUCCUUUCGUCCAUCAUCUGAUGCCUGAGAUCGACCUUCUCUGCAUCUGGGUCCGGUUCUAAUGGAAGAAACCGUGGGGACCGAGGAUUAAAUUCUCUUAUAUAUUCCGAUUCCUGGGUUGUUCGCCUUCUUGCUAUGAUGUAUCUAUUCUUAGAGAACUCCAUGGUAGAAUCCAUGUAUUCGUCUUCUCCGAGGCUCAUCGCGCUGAAUGCAACACAAAUCUCGUCAACUUCGCAUUCUUCUUUAUCUUGAAAUUGCAAUGUCUCAUUUAUGUCAGACUCCGACGAGCCACCACCUUCUUCAGAGGCUUCCUCCUCCUGGUUCCUAAAAGAGAAAUUUUGGGUCUCAGGAGCAAAAUUUGGUUCCUCAGCAGCAUGUUCCGAUUUACUUGUGAUCUGUUUUUCCUCCUUUUCUUCCGGUUCAGCGUCAAUAUCUUCUUCAAUGUUACUACUCGCCUCAAUUCGAUUCGAAACUUGGUUGUCCGAGCUACUAUUUGUUUCAAAAUUAACUUGUUGAUAUGCUUCAUCGCCUUCUGAGAUGGCACUAGAUAUGAUUUCAUGUUCAGGAAAAGAGCUUACUUGUUCAAUUCUCGCUUCCUCCUCAUUGAUCUUCUCUUCAAACGCCAAGCUUGAGAUAUUCUCCUCUUCACCAACUUGGCCACAAGGAAAAUGGGCAGCUUGGUUCUGAAUUUCAACACCUUCGGACUCGAAAGGCUCGUCGAUUGUAGAUAUUUCUUUUCCGCAGUCAGAUAGAGCAUCACUUGUUUCAUGAGAAAUCUCCGCACCGCAUUCAACCAUCCCACACGGAUCUAAAUUGGACUCUGUCUCGAAUAACAAUCCAAUAUUAAGUUCAUCAUUUUGAAAUGAACUUUCUCGUACUCGCGUUGCUCCAUCAUCACUGCUCUCGUAGCAGUCACUUUUGUUAUCAUCGGGAAAGAGGUUUGCGUCCUCCAUAGAAUCCAUAUCAGAGGGUUUACGAUCUGGUAAAUUAGAUUCACACUCAACAUGGUCUUCACUAUGUUUCUCCGACUCCUCUAUUACAUAAUCAUGGGGUUUUUCUCCCUUGCCUUUGCAGUUCUGAUCGCGGCUUACAUAUUCGAGAAACUUCAUCGUCUCAUCCAUUUCUUCGACAGAAGAAUCACUCCAUCGGUCUGCAUCGUCCGCCAAAUCAACAACCGAAUUACUAUUUACCUCUUCUUCUCUGAAGCUUCUUCGAUCAAACUCUUCUUUCUCCAUCGUAUUCGUCUCCAGUUUAGCAUAAAUCUCAACAAAGAAAUCAUCAACUUCCUCUGCAUGCACCAAAGGAGUGAUCUUUAAACCGGAGCCGGAGGGGCUUUCGCUUAAAUUAGCUUGCCCAGUAUCCAUCUCCUCGAAAGAACCCUUCUUUCUGAAUUGGGCAACACCUUUCAAUCUAAAGCUCUUCUGGGUUCUCAUCAGCUUCCUCCUUGAGGCCAAGAAGCACUUCAGAGGGGGCAAACCCUCAUUCCUGUGGCCAUUCAAAGAGCAGUAGGUGUAGGGGCAAACCUUGAUUGCAGAAGUGCCCUGAGCUUCUGUUGCCCCUGGGCUCAGUUCCAGGGCCUUUGGGAACUUGGAAUCCUUGAGAGUUGAAGAGCAUGUUGCCCUGUUCACAUGCAUGCUGGAGCACACAAGGAUCCCUAUGUUCCUCUUCAGUGCAGGCCUUAUUGGCUUCCUCAAACUGGGCUUUUUCUUCAGGCUCUUUGGGGAUUGAUGGGUGCUUACCUUUGGAAGCUCCUUCCUUGCAUCUGAACUUGUUGUGGGCUUCAUGUAGUUGGGCAAAAGAUCCCUCUUUUUAGCAGCAGCAGCAGGAGGAGGAGAGGGGGUCUUCUUAUUGAGCUGGACAUAUCCAGCACCAUCUAUGUCUGAGAUGGUGAUUGAUCUCAACUCCUUCAUCUUCUUCUUUGUGUCUUGUUGAAGGUGGUGAGGAGGAAGGGGCUUCUCAGGAUAGGGGCCCUGCUUCUCCAUGGCUCUGGCCUGAGGGGAGAGCCUUUUGGGUGCUUUUCUUUGCACCAUGGUGGGAUGUGGGAGAGGGGGAAGAAGGAAACCAAGUUGAGGUUAGGGGGAGUUUGGUUUAUAGAAGGAAAAAAAGAUUUGGGUUUUGGCUUUAACUUUUGGUGUUUUCUUAGGAAGGAAGGGAGGGAGUAAAAGAAAGAAAGAAAGAAAGAGUGAGUCUAUAACCUUGUUGUUCUUGUUCUUCUUUGAAAAGGAAACCUCAUAGAGAGAUUCUUUUCCUUUGAAUUUCUAGAGGGUGUUGGUGUUUGUUCAUUGUGGGUGGGCGGCUGAGGUCUUUGCUUUUACUCUUUUUUUCUUUUUCUUUUUUUUAAUAACUAGGAAGGAAGAAAGAGGGUGAUUGGUCUUAGCCAAAAUAUUUGAAUAGUGUAUUGUAUCUUGUACCAGAUAAUAUACAUCAGAAUAUUGUCAAUAAAUCAGUUUUAUCUCGUAUAACAGCUAAUUGAUUAGCUUUGCUUCUAAGAUGAAAAAAACUAUGGUACUUGGUUAUAUUUCAUUCGAUUGCCAUGCGUAUCAUGAAUUGUAUUCAUUAAUAGCAUUUUGAAUUAUAUUUGUUCUUCAUAAAUUAUAAUGUGUCAGUAAAUUUAUAUUACAUUUUAACUGUAUAAAUGAACUAUAUAAAGUCUUUAUGUUACAUGUUAUUCUGGAAGAUUCCUAACACUACUUUUCUAAAAGAUAGAGAAGAAUUAACAACUAAUUAAGGAUUAUGAUAUUGACACCCACCCUAGGAUGGUGGUGGAUAGAGAUAAGCUUAAUUCCUGCACUCAUCCUCUUAGAUGGUGGCUUUGGAUGCUCAAAUUAUUAUUAUCAUUAUUAUUUUAAUUAUUUGAUGUGACAUUUGGAGCUCUCACAAAUUGGCUUCUAGUGCCCAUUGUCUCUUUCUUUUGGGGUACAUUUUUUAAAAGCAUUGACAACAUAAGCUCAGGAUUUUUUUUUAAAAAAAAAAAAGCUUCCAAAAUUGGCUGCAUUUAGUUACUUAGUAAAUGCAGUUUGAUUUCAAAAAUUUGAAAUUCGUCAAUCAUCGUUCUUACUUAUUCGUACAUAAAUCUUAAUAAUUUCAAUGGUUUUAAUUACUAUGUGAGCAGUGGUCGCAUUAGGUUUGCAGAAAAUUUAAUGAGGUGGCAAUUGAUUCGGAGGAGAAAAAAGAAAAACUUGUUCUUGCAAUUAUAAUGAAGUAUAAUAAUGGUUGGUUGGUAUAAAAUGUGGAAAAACUUCAAAAACCUUCCUUGUAGUUUCUUUUUUUUUCACUUUAAUACCCUGUGGUUUAAAAUGUAUCAAGUUAGUACCUUAUGAUUUCUCACUUUAUCACUUCAGUAUCCUUUGCAGGGUACUAAAGUGAUAAAGUGCAAAAUCACAGGAUACUAACUUGAUACACUUUAAACAAUAGGGUACUAAAGUGAUAAAGUGAGAAACCACAGAGUAUUAACUUGAUACACUUUAAAUUAUAGGGUACUAAAAUAAAAAAGUGUGAAACUACAUGGGGGUUUUUGCAAUUUUUCCAUAAAAUAUUUUCCUCGUGCUUGUUGCCUCGCGCGGGUCACGGCCUCGGCAUUUAUUGCGUGCGUGCAUACGAGAAAUUAUUGUAUGUACUCAACAAAAUAAUACAUAGUAUAUAUUGCAACUUAGUUAAAAAUACUACCACUUAAGUUUAAAAUUAUAAAAUUUAACUAUUUAUUUUUAUAUUUUUUUUUUUGAAUUUUGUUGCUUUUUGUGAUCACUUGCAUGUCUAAAAAAAUCUUUAGAAAUUAAUAAGCAAUUAUAAUAUAUAGUGCAUGAGAUGUAAAUAUAUUGGUGCGCGCAAAACGUGCAUCCGUGUGCGCGCACACUCACUCAUGUUGUAUGGGACUCACUACUACGAUGAAAAGAACCCAAUAAAAUAAAAACAGAACGAUCCCCCCGAUUUAUAAAUAUUGGAAACAGGUACGCGAACUAUUAGUUUAUUUGGACUUUAAUCCCCUAAUUGACAUUCUUUCAAUAAUAAUUUUUUUUUUCCCCUAGUACACAUUGAAGAAUUAAAAAUCCAGCCAAAAAUAGUUACAUGUUGCUAAUAAUUUUUGAUACCAUUACCUGGAAUGAUAUUUCAUGACAAUUGUUAAUUAAUAUCUGAAAAUUGUAGUGUUUUGUAAGACGAAAAAUAUAACAAGCUGUUCGGCUCGUUUAUUAUUAAUUUUUUUAAAAAAAAAAAUUGAAUCUCAGAUAUUAAUUAUUAAGUUUUGAGCCAGUUAUGCUAGAUAUGAUCAGUCUAUUUGAAAAAUAUAGUUAAAAAUUAAAAUACUAGAAGCAUCACAUUAAAAUAUUCUGACCUUUUUUUUUUCUUUAUUAACAUAAAUAUUCUUUUUGAACGUGCACGACAAAUAUUCGUGUUCUCAAAAAUUUGCAUUGGAGAAAUGCUUUCGCUUACUAUAUAUGGUUGGUUCAUGCAAAUAUUAUGGUAAACUAUUUUCUCAAAAAAAAAAAUUUAAAGAAAAUAUUAUUUUCAUAGUUUUCAUUUUCAGAUACGAAAAAACAAAAGACUCUUACACAAAAUGUGAAAAAAGAAAUAAUCCGUAAAACUUUUUUCAGCUAAGAAACUAUUUUUUUGAAACUUUUUUACGGAAAAACAAACAUGGAUAAAAGGCACAAUAUUGUGUUUGGUGUAAAUGAUUUUUAAUUAGUUUAUACAGUAUUCGAAAACAGUGAAAUGCGCGAGUUUGUUAACGUGUUAACAAUACAUAAAGGUAAUAUAUACUAAGAAAGCUACAUCAAGUAGUUUUGUUCACAAAUAUCUAUUAAUUGAGAAUGUUUACAAUCAUGCAUACUAAUUUAUCAUUAAAAAUAUAAAAGGAUAGUAUUUUUUUAAGAAAAAGAAAAAGAAUUGUAGCACUAAAUAGUUACGUAGGUAUCUCUUCUUAAUUGUAAUUCUGAGACAACUAUCAAUAGAAAGUAGUGCUCAUUACAUGCAAUACUUAUAGCUUAGUAUAAUCUUAGUGAAGAAUAUAAUUGUUAAAAGCUCAUACAGGAAUAGUUUUAUAUCAGAAAUUUUUUUUUUGAGAGAGACAGUACGCUACUAGCUUCGUUUAUUUCAUUUAGAAAUAAACUUAGCUGAAAAUGUGAAUCAACUAGAAUUCGAACUUGUGACCUCGGAUACCAAUCACCAAGUUUUUUGCCACUUACUUUAGAGACGGUUGGUUAUAUCAGAAAAUUAAUGUGAGUGAAAAUGAUAGACAUAUAUAUUUGCUGGGCACCAAACCCCUAACAAUAUCAUUAAAUGUCUCCGUAAAUGAUUGUGGAGAGGUUUAUUAUUGAUUAUUGGGAAAACUUCAAAAACCCCCUCUGUGGUUUCGUGCAUUCUCACUUAAGUACCAUGUAGUUUACAAUGUAUCAAUUUGUCCUCCUGUGGUUUCGUUUUUAAUUAUCUUUUCAGAAGCUCUUUCGUUAAUAUUUCGUUAAAUUAUAUACAAAAAACUUCAGAUAACCAUCUAUGUUUGUCGAAUAUUCACUUUAGUAUCAUUUAAUUUUAACUUUGUCACUGAUUUAAGAAAAAAAUAAUAAUAAAAUUGAUCACAAAAAGAGAAAAACGAAACCACAGGGGAGCAAAUUGACACGUUUUAAACCACGGGGUACUAAAGUGAGAACGUGCGAAACCACAGCGGGGUUUUGAAGUUUUCCCUGGAUUAUUUUUGCUACAUCUGGGGUACAAAAAGGCAUUUUAAUUUCUAUAUAUAUCAAUGGGGAACAAAUAAAGAGUGAAUCAGUGGGACAGGGAUCCUUGUGCUUUGAAAAAUGAUAUGAUAGCAAACAACGGCUAGUCAAAAUUGGUCACCAGAUAUUUGUCAGAAAAUUUUUGUUUAUAGAACUGCUCAAAAGUUUGAAUUCAAAAUUGAGGGUAGCAACGGUUCAACCCAUAAAUCCUCUUAACGAAAAAAAAAAAAAAAAAGAAAGAAGAAAAAAAAGGGUUUGACCAGCAAAAUGUAAUCCAUCUAUAUAAAAAGAAUCUGGUACGAGCACAUAGAUUUUUUUAUUUCUUUUUUCAAUUGGGAAAGAUUUUGAUUCGCCACUAAUUAUAGAUAAAGAAAUAUAGUUAGAUAAAUUUAUAUCCAAUUAUAAAUUAGGGAUCAAAAUAGAAGUUGGUGAUAAAUUUUGGAGAACGAAAGUGUGAUUACACCAAUGACUAAGACCCCAACACCAAAGUGAUGAUACAUGGAAAUAAUAAUAUUAUUAUGGAUCAAAGGCUUUCAAAAAAAAAAAAAAAAGUAUUUUAAAAUAUCAUUUCAAUAUAAAAAUAUCGUAUUAACUUUCCAUUAGAACCUUUUAUCAUUUUACAUAACACAAUAGAAUUAAUGAGAAAUAUCUUAUUGUUUUUUUUUUAGAGAUAGGUAGCACAAUAUCCGUUUCGUUUAUUUUAUUUAAAAAUAAAUUUAGCUAGAAAUAUGAAUCAACUGGGAUUCGAAUUUGGGUCUCGAAUAUCAACCACCAAACCCUUUGCCACUUGCUCUAGGAACGAUCGGUGAAAUAUCUUAUUGUUA